UACGUAGGUGGCAAGCGUUGUCCGGAUUUACUGGGCGUAAAGAGCGCGCAGGCGGUCGUUCAAGUCGCGUGUGAAAGCCCCCGGCUCAACUGGGGAGGGUCACGCGAUACUGAUCGACUCGAAGGCAGGAGAGGGUAGCGGAAUUCCCGGUGGUAGUGGUGAAAUGCGUAGAUAUCGGGAGGAACACCAGUGGCGAAGGCGACUACCUGGCCUGUUCUUGACGCUGAGGCGCGAAAGCUAGGGAGCAAACGGG
This 253-nucleotide ribosomal RNA is filed under the name uncultured bacterium. Its description in RNAcentral is "partial 16S ribosomal RNA". It matches the Rfam family "Bacterial small subunit ribosomal RNA", at positions 524 to 776 of the family's 1533-position model. The record is from RNAcentral.